UACAGAGGGUGCGAGCGUUAACCGGAAUUACUGGGCGUAAAGCGUGCGUAGACGGUAAUGUAAGUCAGAUGUGAAAGCCCCGGGCUCAACCUGGGAAUUGCAUUUGAGACUGCAUUGCUUGGGUGCGGAAGAGGGAAGCGGAAUUUCCAGUGUAGCGGUGAAAUGCGUAGAUAUCGGAAGGAACACCAGUGGCGAAAGCGGCUUCCUGGUCCGACACCGACGUUCAGGCACGAAAGCGUGGGGAGCAAAAGGG
RNAcentral lists this ribosomal RNA (253 nucleotides) under uncultured bacterium. RNAcentral describes it as "partial 16S ribosomal RNA". It matches the Rfam family "Bacterial small subunit ribosomal RNA", at positions 524 to 776 of the family's 1533-position model. The record is from RNAcentral.